GGAUUAGGCAUGCAAGUCGAACGGGAAGCUUCGAUUUCAAUUUUCGGAAAGAAUUCGAGGUGGAGAGUGGCGAAAGGGUGAGUAACGCGUGAGUAAUCUGCCUCAAAGUCUGGGAUAACCCCGCGAAAGUGGAGCUAAUACCGGAUGUGGUGUCUUGUCGCAUGGCAAGAUUACUAAAGGUGGGGAUCCUUCGGGACCUGCUGCUUUGAGAGGAACUCGCGUCCCAUCAGCUAGUUGGUAGGGUAAUGGCCUACCAAGGCAUACGGGUAGCCGGCCUGAGAGGGUGAUCGGCCACACUGGGACUGAGACACUGCCCAGACUCCUACGGGAGGCUGCAGUCGAGGAUCAUUCGCAAUGCCCGAAAGG
Molecule: ribosomal RNA, 366 nt
Filed under: uncultured anaerobic ammonium-oxidizing bacterium
Lineage: Bacteria
Description: bacterial SSU rRNA
Rfam family: Bacterial small subunit ribosomal RNA
Source: RNAcentral